UCAUGAGUCCGCAUGUUCACAUGAUUAAAGGUAUUCCGGUAGACGAUGGGGAUGCGUUCCAUUAGAUAGUAGCCGGGGUAACGGCCCACCUAGUCUUCGAUGGAUAGGGGUUCUGAGAGGAAGGUCCCCCACAUUGGAACUGAGACACGGUCCAAACUCCUACGGGAGGCAGCAGUGAGGAAUAUUGGUCAAUGGGCGAGAGCCUGAACCAGCCAAGUAGCGUGAAGGAUGAUUGCCCUAUGGGUUGUAAACUUCUUUUAUAAAGGAAUAAAGUCGGGUAUGCAUACCCGUUUGCAUGUACUUUAUGAAUAAGGAUCAGCUAACUCCGUGCCAGCAGCCGCGGUAAUACGGAGGAUCCGAGCGUUAUCCGGAUUUAUUGGGUUUAAAGGGAGCGUAGAUGGAUGUUUAAGUCAGUUGUGAAAGUUUGCGGCUCAACCGUAAAAUUGCAGUUGAUACUGGAUAUCUUGAGUGCAGUUGAGGCAGGCGGAAUUCGUGGUGUAGCGGUGAAAUGCUUAGAUAUCACGAAGACUCCGAUUGCGAAGGCAGCCUGCUAAGCUG
Molecule: ribosomal RNA, 558 nt
Filed under: uncultured Bacteroidales bacterium
Lineage: Bacteria; Pseudomonadati; Bacteroidota; Bacteroidia; Bacteroidales
Description: bacterial SSU rRNA
Rfam family: Bacterial small subunit ribosomal RNA
Source: RNAcentral